GUGGGGAAUAUUGCACAAUGGGGGAAACCCUGAUGCAGCAACGCCGCGUGAAGGAAGACGGUUUUCGGAUUGUAAACUUCUUUUCUUAGUGAAGAAGCAAGUGACGGUAGCUAAGGAAUAAGCAUCGGCUAACUACGUGCCAGCAGCCGCGGUAAUACGUAGGAUGCGAGCGUUAUCCGGAAUUACUGGGUGUAAAGGGAGCGCAGGCGGGACUGCAAGUUGGAUGUGAAAUGCCGCAGCUUAACUGCGGAGCUGCAUCCAAAACUGUAGUUCUUGAGUGGAGUAGAGGCAAGCGGAAUUCCGAGUGUAGCGGUGAAAUGCGUAGAUAUUCGGAGGAACACCAGUGGCGAAGGCGGCUUGCUGGGCUCUAACUGACGCUGAGGCUCGAAAGUGUGGGGAGCAAACAGG
This 408-nucleotide ribosomal RNA is filed under the name bacterium. Its description in RNAcentral is "bacterial SSU rRNA". It matches the Rfam family "Bacterial small subunit ribosomal RNA", at positions 354 to 776 of the family's 1533-position model. RNAcentral also lists the same sequence under 1 other name. The record is from RNAcentral.